Mus musculus (house mouse) is the source of this 15288-nucleotide long non-coding RNA. RefSeq annotates it as predicted gene, 52623. The record is from RefSeq and is a predicted model, not a curated record. The transcript has 3 exons. NCBI's taxonomy places the organism in Eukaryota, Metazoa, Chordata, Mammalia, Rodentia, Muridae.
CCUAAGGACUCAAGUCAAGUCCCCAGUAUCCAUAUAAAAAGCGGGGUGUAGUGGCUCAUCUAAUCCCAGCAUUGUACAGACAGACAUAGACCAUUCUUUGGGGCUCAGCUGUCCUAGCCUAACUGGGACCAGUGAGAGGUUGUCUUAAAAAGCAAGAUGAAUAGUACCUAAGGAAUGAUAGUCAAGAUUGACCUCUGGUUUCCAUACAAACACACACACACAUACACCACAAAAGGUAAAUAAACCAACCUUAGCUGUUGUAUGACUUCUGUAAAGUAUCUGACAUUAAAAAUGAAUCUUUAAUCUCAAAGGAAGGAAAACACCUUACAUGGAAGUGUAAGCAGUCUUGCUGAUAUGUCUUCAUGUAUGUCAUUUAAUCUGGGGAUUUCAAAGUGUUUCUUGAAAUAUACAGAAGAAAUUGAGUUCAAUUCUGCAUCCUAUAGCAUCUCGCUCAGCCUAAACACAUAGCAGUUAGUGUGAUGAAUUUUUUUUCUCCACUUAUCAUAAGCUAGAAUCAUCUUGGAAGAAGGAACCUCAGUUGAGAAAAUGCCUCCAUCAGAUUGGCACAUGGAUCAGUCUGUGGGGGUGUUUUUAAUUAUUGACUGAUGGGGGACAGCUCAGAGUACUGUUAGUGGUGGUACCCUUGGGCAAGUGGUUCUGAGUGCUGUAGAAAGCAGGCUGAGCAAGUCAUAGGAGCAAGGCAGCAAGCAGCAUUCCUCCAUGGUCUCUGUACCAGUUCUUGUGUUGAGUUUCUACCCUGACUUCAUUUUCAUCAUGGACUGUGAUUUGGACCAAUAAGAAAACAAGCAAGCAAGCAAGCAAGCAAGCAAACAAACAAAAACAUUCAUACAUAAAGCAAUUAACUAAGCAACCAAACAAAAACCCUUUUAUCCCCAAGUUGGUCACACGGUGUUUAGCACAGUAAUAGAAAUCAAACUGUAACAGUAUGUAACAACUGCUUACAUGUCAGCCCAGUAAUGGAGGCAAUGGUGUGCUCAAGCAAACUCAAGCUCAUUUGCUAAUAGAUAGCUGAGCAAAAAGGCAAGCUGACUGUAGGAUACCACAGCUCUCAACAUGUCAAGACACCAGGUUUCAGUCACAACCAGUCCACAAAGAUUUUGGUGACAUUGCUGCUCAGAACUUUCUUUGAAAAAGAAAGGACUGUCACUAGAAGGUUCUGGGUCCAGAGCUCUGUCUAACUGAUCUCCACAUGCACAAAUCUCACUUCUGUUUGUAAAGCAGACAAAGGUUUCAGAGUGCUCACUCAAAUCCCCAUGCCUACACAGCGUCAGAACCAAAGGGUGCUCUUUGUACACUGAACACAGAUAUCUAACCUGGUAGAGGAUUGAAGGAGGGGGUUGAGAAACUGGUCCAGUCAGAAUGGUUCUAAUGGAAGAAUAAUGAUCCACUGCAUAGCAUCAUUAAUGAAUCUGGGUUUUCAUUAGAUUUAUCAAAUAGAUUUAUCAAAAGUUACUAAAAUUUGAUCAUUUAGUUUCCAAAUAUUUUAUAUUAGAAGUAUGUCUGUAUUAUGUGCCUUGACUUCUAUCAAACAUUUUAUAUUGAAAAUAACCUUUCCUUAUGCUCAUGCUAUCAAUGAUUAUUUUAUACAAUACAGGCAUGUAACAUUGGUUUUUUUUCUAAUGCUCUGUACAUUAACUAGGCCUAAACAGUACAUAUAGAAUUUUAAAAAGGAUUUAUAAUAGAUUUAUAUAGUAUUUAAAAUAGGAUUAUAGAAUUUAAAAAAUUUACCCCAAAACAAUGUAGCUUACUUAGAAGGUGUGAAGUUUAGUUUUUAUAUAAACUCCUCAUCCCAUUCCUUUUAGAGUUCUAAUUUACAUAGCCAUAAUAUAGCAACUAAAAAUCAAUAAAUUGCUUUGGUAUCAAACUGUUAACUGAAUGUCAAACUUCACACAAAUGUCACCAGUUUUUCUAUUCAUAGCCUUUCUUUGUUUUGACCUAAUACAGAACCCUAAAAUUGGUCUCAUCUGUCUCCUUAGUCUCCUCGAUGAGUGACAGAUCUUAUGCUGCCCUGUCUGUCAUGACCCCGUUACUCUUGGCCAGUUACUGGUCAGUUACUUUGUAGACUUCCCUUUUAUUUCCCCGUCUUUUCGAAUGAUUCUAUUGAGGUUAGAGAUGCUAGACCCUAUCUCUGGUUCAUCUUACCAGGGGGUACAUGAUAUGAAAAAUCUUAUCUCUGGCAGGUUCAGCCUGGUCAUAGGUGAGAUAGCACAGGCUGGGGCAGCUCAUUGUUAACCGCUUUCCCACUGUACUUACCAAAUUUCUCUGAUUUCCUCUUACUUCAGAGUGAGGUGUCAGUAUCAGGCACCGUUAGCACCUCUAGCAGCUUGCUUUUCUGAUCUAUUACAGGCUCAAAAAUCAAGAAGCGAUAGCCUGACAGAAUUCUAAAUCCUUUUAGAAACUGUGCUCUGAACAAAAGUUUAUCUCAGACUUGUGAAGUUGUCUUUUUUUAGUACUUAGGCUGUUUUGUAGUUUCACAUAUUUCUCAGUCUGGGGUGUUUUCCUCUGGAAUCUACAUCAUCGUUCGUAAGCUUUAAUGAGUAGCCUUCCAAGUGGAGCCCUCCCUGGGAGGGACUUACAGAUCAGAUGUAGAGCCCUUAAGACAAAACUGGGGUUGAGCUAUGGCCAGCUCAGAAAGUGGGUUUACUUCCCACUUCCCUGUCACAGAGGCCGUGACAGAACAUGGACACAGGAAUGUGGAAGCCAUCGAUUUCAUAAGUACCCACUGCGUCAGCCGUGAGAGGACAGUCUGCUAUAAUACUCAUAAAACAAGUGCUAUCUCCUGUUGACACACGCUAAGUACUCUUUCUAAAUCUUUAAACCUUACACUCCCAGUUCCAAAUCAAUAGGCUGAAGGACCAAUAGACGACAUUACAUCUUCGUGAUGCUACCCACAUCACGGAAGAAUAUUUCUGGAAUGGUCUUUUUCCCCACAAUGCCGGCAAACCCACACCUCCUCUUGUUUGUCGGAUUUCACUGAAACUAUAAUUUCUAAAUAUUUCAGAGAAUAGUCCUUUUCUUUGUGCCUUACACAGCUCCCCUCCAUUUAAAAGUUCUAUGUGAAUUAUAUACAUUUCUACCCAGAACGAGCUGCAUUUCAUGUAUAGUUAGCAUUUAUCAUAUGCUUAAGGUGUUUUUGUUUAUAUCGUUUUUAUUUGAUGAGGUUAGACCUGGCCCAUUCCUCCUGGUUUAUACAAACUGAGUAAGAACCCAAACAUUCUCAAACAGCAUGUCUUUAAAUAUGUGCAUGGUAGUUAUCUGUCUCCCUAGUGCACAGUUCAUAAAGAUGAUUGAGUUGGCUGUUGUUCUGUUGUUUAAUAUGAUAAUUAGGCAAUCACUAAAUCUUACACUUUCUUACAGAAAAUGUUAACACACAUUGAGAAAACCAAAAGCAGAGAGCUGUAAUCUGGACGAUAAAAUGCAUUACUCUGUUUAAAAGGAUUGUUUUACAGGCACAAUUAACAAUCAGCGGCCACAGUGUAGACGGUGUUUUGAUGCCAUCUGUUGGAAUAAGCCUUCUCACUCUCUGGAGUGAAGCUAUAAUUUUCCGUUUACAGUUUCAUUAGGCAACACGCAAGAUUAACAGUCCCCCAAAGCAGAGGAAUUCAGACACUUCCACUGUUACAGCCUCCUAUAAACAGUUAGUUAGUAAGCUACUGAAAUUUCCUGGAAAUGCUAUUAGAGAGCAGGCUGUGAGACCACACAUUUCUAUCUUGGUUGCAGCCUUAAAAUAUGAACAGUUCAAAUGCCAAUGGCUUCUCUACUCUUAGUUUUAGUACUGAAGAUAUGAUUGCCACUCUCUUGCUUAUUUCUGAUAUCUAUUAACUAAUAAAAAUAAUCUACCUAGGCCUAAAUACCCUAUAACAGUAUGAGUGAGGAAAGUUAGCAACCUGCCCAAUGUAACACAUUGCUGUUUAUUGUUAUUAGACUAUUAAAUGUCAGAUCAAAAUCUCUGGGGUUUCUAAUACACUAGAGGGUGCUAGCUCUCUAUGUGUAUACAGUUAGAAGGCAAAACUUUUACCAUGAUUAGUUUGGGGAAUUACAAAAGUUGACCAAAAAAAAAAAAAAAAAAUCCUAUUAGAGUACAUGGGCUGUGCUGCACAUAAAGGAAAGAAGGAGAAGGAAAAGGUUUAUUUAAGUCCAAUAAGACUGAAUCAGCAAGGGUCUAAGAAGAGAAUCUGCCACCAAAAAGGCAAUAUCACUAUAAAUGCUGGUAUCAAUAUGGCCUUUCUCUGUGACUGGGUCAUUAGCUGCUGUCUCCAAACCUGAAUGAAGUCCGCAGCUCAUUAGACACAGAAGUAUGGACUAUGAGCUUCCGGGCUACCUCUCAUGUGGACUGCUCUACAAGGGCAAGCCACCAGGCUAGAGGAGGCUUCUUAUUAUAGAAGUUGGCUUCUGCUCUCAAACAGAAGAUGUGUGUUGUGACUCAAAAUGAGCUCAGGACACUGUCCUUUUAGAUGCAUAUGUAAAGAGUUAAUGUAUUUGCAGAAUGACUGGUUCUGCCAGGAAGAAUUAUCAUAAAAAUGGCAGUGAUGUUUACUUUUUAACAUAAAUUAAGCAACUUAUGUGAGAUUCUCUUCCAUUGAUAGGCUGUUUGAACAGUCUCAAAUGGGAAGAUAUCACUGUGAAGAUCUGAACUUAUGUUCUACAGUUGACUGGUUAGUCACUCCCUAAGUAACUGAUGACUUUCUGCAGGUCUCGACACAGCUGCAGAGUGAAAGUGUGCAGCUCACAGAUGCACACAAGCAUAAGCACACACGUGAGUGUGAAGAGACAGAAAUAGAUUUACAUUGAAUAGCUUUAAAAAGAGACUCAAUCCAACAAGAACUUCAUCACAGAUUCUAUCACAUGUAUCUGUGGGGUGUAUGCCUUUUCUUUCCUUCCUUUGAGUUUGGUUUUCUCUCUUGAAAAGACUAGCUAACAGCAUUCUGGAUAGAUAGACUCAAGCCCAGGGAAAGUGAGGUUGCUCACCUGCAAGUUUCUGCCCUCAGAGCUGGGCUGGAGUUCAAACUGUCCAAAUCUUCGGAAUUUCAUUCUCAAGGUCUAGUCCAACCUCAUUUUGCUUUCUCCUCUUUUUUUUUUUACUCCAGGAACCAAAAUACAUUCACAUGGUCUCUCUAGUCUAUGGGCACAUCAUCCAAAGGUGUUUUAAAUGUCUGAAUUUCCCCCUGCUCCUGCAGGUCAAGUGGGAAUUGGGAGACUGAGUGUACCUUUGCCCACACCAGUAGGGGCUUUCCCAGAGCCUUUUAACAUUCUGAAACAUCUAAAAAGUGCCCAAAUGAAGGAUGUGUCCCAUCAUCUCCUGUCAUAACAAUUCUGCUUAGCAGAAACAAAGCCAUGAACUUCCCAGAACGCAAACACGAAAAGACCACUAUUUGUGCUUAUAUGCGCUAAGCAAACACAUAAGAGCAAUCAGUCAAGACCCUUCAAACCUAAGACUACCAAAGACAGUCCAAUGAUCACAGACACUGCUAAAAUAUAAACACUGGUGUCAUUUUUAUUAUUCUGUGUCUGAAAUGGCUAUUUUUGGUCAUCAACUUGACACCAGGAAUUAAUCUAAACUGAAGCUGCUAGGUAUACCUAUGAAGGAUUUUUCUUGAUUGGAUCAUUCCAGGUAGGAACGCUUGCCCUAAAUCCAUAUCUUUUGAGAUGGGAAGACACACUCUAAAUCUGGGCCAUCACUUUUGAUUACUCCCUAUACAAGGGACACGGAAGAAGGAAGCUCUCUCUCUUUGGUUGUUCUUUCUCAUUCUCCCUGCCAAGUUGACUCCUUUUACUGUGAUUUGAGCCCAAUUCUUCAGGAUUCUGGCAUAUACUGAAGACCAGCUGACACAUUCAGCUUCUUGGACUGAACAACUGUUGGAUUCUUAGGCUUUCUAUAGAGAGACAGCCAUUGUUUGACUAGCUAGACCACAGUCUAUAAGCUACACCUAUAGAUAGAUAGAUAGAUAGAUAGAUAGAUAGAUAGAUAGAUAGAUAGAUAGAUAUAGAUGAUAAAGAUAUAGAUAUAGAUCCAUCCAUACAUGCAUACAUGCACACACACACACACACACACACACACACACAGUUCUACUAGUUCUGUUUCUCUAGAUAACCCUGACUGAUACAGUGUAAAGUGUCCUGCCAGAAUUCUACCUUGCAGAAGUACUCUCUGCAAAUACAUACAUUUUAAAACACACACUUAAAAGGACAGCAUCCUCAGCUCAUUUUGAAUCACCAUAGAGAUUUGUCAUGGAUCAAAUUUGCAUCCUCUCUUUGGGAGCAGGGGCAAAAUCUGCCAUUGUAAAGCAUGGAAAGUGAGUGGAAGGCAAGAGAGUGCCUUUCAGAUGGUCAGAGCUCUCAGAGGCAUCAACUCUGAUGACCGGGGCCACUCUGCACAGGGGAAUCAGAAUCUUGCUGUGCUCUUCCCAUCUCCCCAGGGACAAGCCAGCUUAUGGCAUUUAUUGGACUUAUUCUUGAGUCUGGACUACUGGGGCUCAUUUCUAAUUCUGCCCCAUGUUAGACUCAUCACCAUAUGUAAUCUACUUAUUCUGUGCCUCCAUGUUAAUUUAGAACUUGCCAUUUUUCAUUUUCUGCAUGACUAAUGCUCCCUGUCUCCGUCACCAUCAUUUUAAAAGUCUCCCAGUGGGCUUCUAGCCUCAAAAAUAUGUUCCCAAUAUGACUUCUACCAAGCUCAUUUGAAAUUCGAUAAAAUUAAAAUUCACGUAAUGACUUCACACUAAACUCAAGUUCCAGUCCUUAUAAUAGCUUAAGCGGUCCACAUGCUGCUCCGCCUGUUGGCCUCUGGGACCAUCGCCUUCCCUCCUCAUCUGCUUUGGAGCAUUCAACAUCAGAUCUUGCAGGACUUGCAACAUGCAGGACUUGCAUCUGAGCUUUUGCCAGAGUGGUCCAGUUAGAACCUUCCUUCAAUACCUGCCCUUUGAUGGGCCUUCUAUUUUUCUUUCUCAUAGGGUGACUCUUCCUCUGUUUAAUAAGCACACACUAAUCCUCGUCUUCGCUACUACUCCCCAGUGCUCCUGCUGACCCAGCUUGCCCUAUUAUUCUUUUUCAUGCCAUAUCUUACUUUUCAGUCAGUAUCAAAUGUACUAGUUUAAUAUUGUUUACCAUCUUUCUUCUCUAGGUUCAUAAGGCAGGGGCUUUCUCUAUUUUGUUCAUAGCAUAUUGCUUACAGUUUUCACUUUAAAACAUUUCAGUAAGUAUGAUCAGUAAGAUGCUGGUGUCUAUUAGUGGCUUUGUUGCCCUGCUAUGGAGAAACUCAAUUUUCUUCUGCCCCCUUUCUCUUUCCCCCUCCCCCCCCCAACACACACACUGCUAGGUUACCAUAUGUAGUUUUGUUUUUUGAGAUAGAAUUUCUCUGUGUACCCCUGGCUACAUGUAAACUUACAUGUAGACCAGGCUGGCCUUGAACUCACAAAGAGCCUGCCUUCCUCUGUCUCCACUGAAAUUAAAGGGGAGAUUAAAGACAAGUCCACCAUGGCCUGGCAUGGCUGUUUCGUUUUGUUAUUUUUGUUGUUGUUGUUGUUUAAUGUUUUUUAUGUUAUUUUAAAAUUCCAAUGCCAAGAUGGUUUUACUUCUUUGGAAGUUUUUGGCCAGUGAGGUCCUGUAAACCCUCAAACCUCACAGGACUUUGUUUUGCCAUUGAUCUUGGUUACACUCCAGAACUUGAUUGCAGUAGGCUGUUCUUAGUGAAGAUACCACGUUCUUGAGUCUUAGAACACGAUGAAAUGAGUCUGGUAUGGACCUGGAAGCUGCAUCCCUAAUGGAUGAUAGUGCUUUAACAGUGCUAGGGGUGCUCUUCAGGGUAGUGGAGGGGAGGUAUACUCAUCAACCAUACCCAGCUCUGAACUCUGCAUGCCCCAAUAACCACCGGCCUACAAGGACACACCUACUGAUACAACAGUGACAUAAGCAUCAUAGGAGUAAUGAACUACUUUCUGAUUGGAUUUAAUUCCUACUCUACAAAAUGGAACUAAUAUUGUGGCACCAUCACCCUGCUAACAACCCAUAACUGGCUAAGUCAUGCACCGUAGGAUAGGGCCUAUUACCAUUGAACUGCUAAAUGGACACAGUAUUAAAUUGACUUCUAGUGACCUAUCAUUAUACCCAUUGAUCAAUGCCUCUAUUAGUCACCAUCUGAGGGUCUUCUGUUUUCAUCAGAUGGUGUUUAGCAUAGAGACCCACAACUGGCCAAGAUGCAAAGUAUAAAGCACUAGAAAGUGUCCAGACUAAAGGGAACCUAGAUAGUACAUCCCCUUCCAAAGCUCAGGGUCCUUGCAGAAUUAAGGACACAGAGUAUAGGAUUCAGAGGCUGUGGAUGACUACAAAGAAACUAUCUUCUGGACAAAGCAGGUCAGAUGCACAUAUGAACUCACAGCAGUUGUUACAGUGUGCACAAAUUUUGUGUGAGCCCAAGAUAGAGCAAACACCAGCAGGGAGAGAGGAAUCUGGGUAAGCGAUCCGACUUGACCAUGGUGCUCUUGACAAUGGUCAGCUGCUCUGAAAGGGAGACUUGAUUUUUUUCUAACAGUCCAGCCCCUGGUAAGUCUACCACUCUCCAGUGGAAGAUCACACAUCCCAGAAUAUUUAAGUAGCACAAAUUGGUCAUUAUGUUUUUUUUUAAAUGGGACACAAAGAUGGGUGAGUAGGGAAGGAGUAGAUAUGGAAAGAGUUGGAGAAGGAAGGUGAAAAUGACUGAAACACAUUGGUUUGGAACUCUCAGAGAAAUAAUAAAAAUUAAUUUUAAAAGUGGUUCAGUGAGUGAGUAAAUUUUAGAAUGAUAAAUGACAUAUGCUCUACUUACAAAUUGCUCAAAAUUUUUGGUAUUAUCGUUACUGCUACUGCUUCCACUACUGAUCCCGGCAUUAGUGUCGGUGAUACUCAUAAUACUGUCUAAUCUUGCACUGAUCACACAUACUGACUUGCUAAGUUGUAAUUAUGAAAUGCCUCGGACCUUCAGCUCAGCUCCAAAUUCCUGGAUUAUUCUGAUCCCAGCUAACACUAUAGGGAGAGCUUCAUGUUGGAACUGGCCCCCCUCUCAGCAUGAGAGGGAUUCCUUCUAUACUAAAGGACUCUCCCCUAAUUGUCACUGGAGCAUGUCUGGCCCUCUGGCUUUCUCCCUGUUCUCUAUUCUGGAAGGGCACGGAACCCCUGGCUACUUACCUGGCACCUGGCACUUUUCAAAUAAUAUCCUCUGAAGCAUUUCCUAGAGUUACAAGGGAAUAGACUGUCCUGAAACAGUCCCGAUCAGAAGCCCCCAACCACUGACUGUAGCUUGGCCAAGGCAGGGCUUUGCACAACUGUUGCAGAGUGCAGAAGCCACUUUAAUUCCUUUGCCUCGCUGAUAUUAGCAAGGGAACUGCUUCUCUAACAGAAACGAUGACAUGAUGACAAAAAUCACAGGAAACAGAGCAUGAUCUAAUGUCGGAAUAGAAGCUCCUCAGUUCACUCCAGCACCUGUCAGGUCCUGAAUACAGCUGCUUGCCUUCACAAUUUUAGGAACUGCCAAUCUAGACCACUGUUUCUGGAACUCCAUUAUGUACACGAGACACCUAGCAUCUCGCCUGAGGCUUCUUCAUAUUCUGCAGGCCUGCAGGGUAGCCUGGAACUUUGUAUUUCUAACAAGCUCCCAGGUGGCAUGCAGCUGCUGGAACAGCCUGUGCUUAGAAUAUCAAAACAUCUAGACUCCCUAACCUCCUCAGGUAAGUCCUGAAGUUACUGUAAAGACGGGAUUUGUGCACAGAGUGAGGAACUUCGAACAUGCUUUACUAACUUGCAGUAUUUAGUUCCCCAUGAGCUGUGAGAUGAAAACCCUCAUGCACAUUUUGAGUCGAUAAAAGGCUCUCUAUUAGUGGCUAAGGGUUCAGACCCUGUGACAAUGUACAGUGCAAUAUAUCAGCCAUCAAGCUUCAGCAGACUUCGUUCAGAGGGUGGGUGCUAUUUUUAAGUUGUGCCUCCUGUAGGUAAUUGCUGAGUUAGAGAACAUUUUACUCUGAGCAUCUGUGGGAUUGCUGCUUGUGAUGGUUUAUAUAUGCUAGGCCCAGGGGGUGGCACUAUUAGAAGGUGUGACCCUGUUAGAGUAGGUGUAGCCUUGUUGGAGUUGUGUGUCACUGUGGGUGUGGGCUUUGAGACCUUCAUCCUAGCUGCCGGGAAGCCAGUACUCUGCUAUCAGCCUUCAAAUGAAGAUGUAGAGCUCUCAGCUCUGCCUGCCAUGCCUGCCUAGAUGCUGUCAUGCGCCCACCUUGAUGGUAAUGGACUGAACUUCUGAACCUGUAAGUCAGCUCCAAUUAAAUGCCGUCCUAUAUAAGACUUGCCUUGGUCAUGGUGUCUGUUCACAGCAGUAAAAACCUAACUAAGACACAACCUACAUGGCCAUCUUACUAGCCAGGCCUUCAAUGAACUAACUGCAUGGUAGACUAGACAGAUGUGGGAAGAAGAGAAGAUGUGUGAAUAUGGCCUGUCUUGAAACACAUGCAUGAGUGGAUGUAAAAGGGACACAUACGGUAUAAGUGUAAGGUGUUCAACAAAGUGACUGAAUUGUUGGCCACUCACAUGGACACAGGGUUUCUGAGUUUUACCCAGAACUAACCCUAUCAGUGAUGAACACAUACUCUUUAAGAAAUGAUUCUCAAAAAAAAUUACCAAAAAAUUUGAAUUAAUAUUAUGGUUAUUUGAUUUUCUAAAAUUAAUUACGCAGCAGCAAAUAUCAGCUUUAAAAAGUUGGAUAUUAGAAAAAAACGAAGUCUUGGUAUGUUCUCUCUUUGGAGCUCUUUUAAUCAAGAGUUAAAUCUGCCGUUUCAAAACAAACUAAAACAAAACAAAAGCUGAACAUUAUAUGUGGGGCCUUGUAAACACUUAAAGUUCAUCCUACAUGCUGCUGAGGAAAGUCUAUUUCUGUGUGUGGACACAGAAGAUGGCAGGUCCUAUAGUUACGGGGAGUGGUGCUGUCUGUCUUCUGUGUUGAUCCUUCACAGCUGGGAUUGCCUCUCUGCUCAUGUUUCUUGGAUAAGAAGGAUUUUAAAAAUUGUUAUUGAUGCCCUUACUCAGCAUAAGUUUCAACUAGGCCAAAAGCUACCAAUUGUUGUUGGGUAAAUUGAUUGAUGGUGUGUCCCUAUGUAUUCAAUUGUUAAUUCUCUAUCUGUAGAGAGCUAAAUGCUGGCAGGAUCUUAAAGAGUAUUGUUAUUUCCAUAACCCACCAUAGGCCUCAUAUUUUGUAAAUAUUCAACCCUCCUCAUUAGCCUAGAGGCAAUCUAGAAUUGUAUCUGCUGGGCUGUAAUAAAUCUUAUGUUCAAUAGCUAAGCAGGAAGUGGAGGGUGGAACUUCCGGAAGAGAAAAGGGAUGCUGGGAGAAGAAGUGAGAGGCGGAAGAUUCAGCCCGCAGACACGGAGGUGGUGGAACCAGAGUGGAGCGGAGAAGUAGAGCUAGCCACUUGGCCAGGAUUAGUUAGAUUAAGUUUAGAGCAGCUGGGAGACCGACCUAGCUAAAACGCCUAAACUAUAAAAUAAUAAUAAUUUUAAAAAAUGCCUCUGUCAUUGUUUAAAUUGCUGCCAUGUCUGCUAUAGAUCAGUUAGGGGAAGCAUUGAGCAGCAGAGAGAGGCCUGUCCUAUGAAGGUGAUGCCUUCAACAUUCCUUUAAAUCAUAAAAGGAUAUGGUCAUCAGAGAGAGAGAGACACGGGGCAUGGGAGUAAUGGGACCUGAAGGGAAAUGGAGUCCCCAAAGAAAAGGAAAUCAACAGCAAAGAGAAAUGCCAUUUGGAUCCUAGCCGUCAGGAUUAGGUUACUGGAGAGAAUAAACUUGGCUCAAUAUUAAGCAGAUAUGUAAGUUAAAUGGUGAAGACCAAUUAUAACAUUGAUUGGUCUUGGUAAGUUAUGUUUUAUAUCUCUGGUAAAUUUUAAUCAGUUUAACUAACCAGAUGGCUGGAUGAUUGAUUGCUUGCAUUUUUACAUUGGUUACAUUUGGUUAAAUGCAUUCCAGUACAGAUUGCAUUGUUUCCUAGUAACUAAUAUUACUAGAUAACCAUCCAUAUUGUCUUGUUAAGGCUACUCAAGAAUUUUCAUACACUUUCUGGCUUAGAUAACAGAUUUUUUUUCUUACUCUAGAAGCUAGGUAUCAUAAGGUAUCAGGGGGGCCAGACUCUCCUGAGGUCUCUGUCCUUGGUAUGCAGACCCUGCCCAUACAUGGUCUUUCCACUGGCACACACAUCAUUAAUAUCUUUGGGGUUGUAAGUCUCCUUUUCUCAUAAGGACACUAGUCAUAUUGGGUGAGGACCCAACCUAGUAGCCUCACUGAAACAUGAUAAUCACUAUCAAGGAUGCCUCCAGUGGUGACAGCCCAUGGUAACCAGUUCUGCAGCCACCAUUCAGCCCAACAAAAACCUACUGUAGCUCAAAACACAUUCACAGAUGACAGCAUCCAGGCUGGACCUGCAGAGCAUCAUUCCUGCAAUUAUUCCCCAACAAUAUGAUGGAGCCAAUAUUUCCCAGGCAUUUACUCUAGACAUAUCAGGAAUAAUCUAUAGAUGCUUUAAUAAUUCCAUGUGGGGUUGGGGGGGAGGAUAUGUAACUUCUGCACAAACAAAACAACUGUGUAUUAUUUUAUCUAAGGUAAAUGGACACCUUCAGAUUCCAUGGGAAUUCUGAGGCCAAUCCCCAGAAAGUGUCAGAGGACAAUUGCAGACAUGCUCUGAGGUACUGACCGUGAGGAAGAUCUUCAGUGAUAAACAUUUUGAUAGGAUACAACUCAGCCCAUUAACACAAUCAUCCUUUUCUAAAUAAGAAGGGGACCACAGGAGCAAAGGCUGAAGAGCAAGCUCUACCAGAUAGUACAAAGCCCUCCCUUUUAGUUCCCAGUUCUAAAAUUCAAAGGACAUAAACAUCAAGUGAAGUCCUCUUGCCUCCACAUCUUGUUUCCCAGAGCACAGUUCAGCAAAUGACUUCCCAAUGCUAAUAGCACAUUUGUACAAGAUCAUCCACCAAAUAGCAGCAGCCAAGCACUGACUUAAGCUGCCACCUCUGUUGUACAAAUAUGUUCAUGAGGAAGUUCAAUGACAGCAUCUAAAAUAUUAUUAUUGCACAAAUCACCACACUAUUCAUAUUUAAAAUGAAAGACAACUAUUUGUCCAACAUUGGUUACUUACACAGGGGAAUUUCACUUUGUAUUCUCUUAAUGUACAAACCUGAAGUCACCAUGGCCAGAUCCACAUAUUAUUUAUUUGAAAAACAGGACAAUGUUCAGAGACAAAGCCUUUAUAAGCUAAAAUUCAGCAUGUGGAUAAGGACCCACUGACUCUGACCUCCCUUUGAGCAAUGUUUUAUAAUUGUAAGGUCGAAACACAAGUCUGGUUUUUAAAUGUGUAAAUAGAUAUUCUGCUUUUCGGGAAAAUUCACCUGGAAUAUAUGUUUAAAGGAUUAAAACAACUGAAAUUUUUGACUUUUGAAGCUUUUUGUACAUUUUGAAACAUCCCAAAGACACUUUGCCCUAUACCAAUAUUCCAAGUCACUAAUUUAACUACAGCUUGGUCCCUAUGGAGCAGGGUUUUUUUAUUCACUUUUAAUCAUUAAGGUUUGGGAUAUAUAAUUAACUAUUGGGACUACAGGGGCACACCAUAAACCUGAGACCUAUAUUUUGAAACUCAUCCAUUUUAAUUGUUUCCUAGAGAUGUAAAAUUAUUAUAAACUUUGAAGGACUCAUCCAACAUUGAUUGCUCUUGAAAACUCUCUAACCAAAAAUGUGGUAUGUACAACCAUUCACGGCUUGCCCAGAAAAUAGCACCACAGUCAACAAAGGUACUGAAGCGAGAUUACAGCAUAGGCAUCCUUUUCUCUCCUACAUCAGCUCCAGGUGGAAGUAUUUGCAAAGCCCUGACGUGCCUUCACGAGGUUGGCCUGAAUGUUUGACAGAAUGGCAGGGACAAGGCUGGCUGGUUUCCAGACAAGGAAGCUGCUGUGUGUCACCCAAGGACGCUGCUGUGUGUCACUCAGUGCCACCUUCUCAUUUGAGAGCAGAUGAGGGGGAGUCAGGGAGAAACAAUUCUGCAAUCUUCUGAAUUGGAAGAUAUGUCUGAAUGGAAGAGAAGAAGAAGCAAGAAAGCUCAGGCACUACCUUCCCAGAGGCAAGUGGCACUCCUCGGCCAGUUAAUAAACAAUGACACCUCAACUGAAAUGCCCAAGGAGAAAGCCAUCCGAGGUGCCACUACAUCCGUCCUUCUCUCUCUAACCUUAAGUCAACAGAGAAGCAGAAUAAGAAGAAUGUAGACAGAUUCUACAGAUUACCUUCCCAAGCACCCAUAGGAGAGGAGGGAUAGAUAGAAAGGCAGGUUAGACUCAGAAAAAGGUAAGCCCUGCCUGGCUCCAGGUAUUCCGGGAUGAGCUUGGGGUAAGAUCUGCUACACUCCACAAAGAUGUAGCAGAAAUGAGUUUGCCAUUUGGUCAGUAAAUCCCUUUAAGUUCUAUACAGAGUCCUGUCAUUUGCCCAGCUGUACCAGGAAUAGGACUGUCAGAACAUCCUGUGCUGGAGUGCAUGGCAAUUUCAUUCACGGCAGGCGCCAAGUAAUUUGGAUCUUAAAAUGCACCUCACAAGAAGUUCGAAAAAUACAGAGGAAGUUUCAGCAUUGAGUCUUUGAGUAUCUCUUGUCUAGAAUAACUGCCCCUGUCAUUUAGGGAGCCCAUGGAAGUGCUGGUUUCUCAGGUAUGGCUAUGGAUGUCCUCUUACCCCUUGAGGCAGGUACAGUGAGGCUCAUUUGCUCCCCGGGAUGGCGAAGCCAGGAUCAAAUCUACCCUUUUCAUUGUGCUUACAGCAAGAUUCUCUCUUCCCAGAUACAACUCUUCCAACUUCCACCCUCUUGCCAAGCUUUAUGGAAGAAACCCACACUCAAUACUUGCCUCUCUGCCAAGGAUUCAUUCAUUCCACAAACAAGGUAUCUCCUGGCCCCUUCUGCCUUCCCUCCAGGUCCAGUGGUCUGUUUCCCAGGAAUAAUCCAUCUCUUAGCUCUUGAUGCCUAUGUGGAACUGCUCCUCCUAUAAUUCUGGUUUCCUGGUUUCUCAUGGCUCUCUUGUGCUUUGAUCUGAUUCUUACUCUAGACCAUCCCUCAAUCACUUUUCCUCCCUCCCCUCUCUCUUCACUUUCAUUUCUCAUUCUCCCUCCCCCUCCCCCUGCUCUCCCGUUCUUUCUCCUUUCUCAGAUUUAUUCUAGUUUCUGGAAUCUAGUUGUCCCCACAGCAGCAGUUCUCAACCUGUGGGUCACAAUCCCUUUUUUGGGGGAGGGGGUCAAGCAAUC